UGUCACAGAUAUUAUACAAGAUCCAAAAGGAGUUAGAAGUUCGAAAUAAGGAAUUGCACGUUGCAGUUGAUAACUCAAAGAGAUUGUUGAGCGAAAACAAGAUUUUGGAGCAAAGCAUUUUCAAUACUGAAAAUAGGAAAAAAGAGGAGGUUGAAAUUCAUCAAAAGAGAUAUGAACAA
This is a non-coding RNA of Camelina sativa (false flax), 179 nucleotides long. Lineage: Eukaryota; Viridiplantae; Streptophyta; Magnoliopsida; Brassicales; Brassicaceae. The record is from RefSeq and is a predicted model, not a curated record.